UAACACGUAUCCAACCUGCCGUCUACUCUUGGACAGCCUUCUGAAAGGAAGAUUAAUACAAGAUGGCAUCAUGAGUCCACAUGUUCACAUGAUUAAAGGUAUUCCGGUAGACGAUGGGGAUGCGUUCCAUUAGAUAGUAGGCGGGGUAACGGCCCACCUAGUCUUCGAUGGAUAGGGGUUCUGAGAGGAAGGUCCCCCACAUUGGAACUGAGACACGGUCCAAACUCCUACGGGAGGCAGCAGUGAGGAAUAUUGGUCAAUGGGCGAGAGCCUGAACCAGCCAAGUAGCGUGAAGGAUGACUGCCCUAUGGGUUGUAAACUUCUUUUAUAAAGGAAUAAAGUCGGGUAUGGAUACCCGUUUGCAUGUACUUUAUGAAUAAGGAUCGGCUAACUCCGUGCCAGCAGCCGCGGUAAUACGGAGGAUCCGAGCGUUAUCCGGAUUUAUUGGGUUUAAAGGGAGCGUAGAUGGAUGUUUAAGUCAGUUGUGAAAGUUUGCGGCUCAACCGUAAAAUUGCAGUUGAUACUGGAUAUCUUGAGUGCAGUUGAGGCAGGCGGAAUUCGUGGUGUAGCGGUGAAAUGCUUAGAUAUCACGAAGAACUCCGAUUGCGAAGGCAGUCUGCUAAGCUGCAACUGACAUUGAGGCUCGAAAGUGUGGGUAUCAAACAGGAUUAGAUACCCUNGUAGUCCACACGGUAAACGAUGAAUACUCGCUGUU
This 715-nucleotide ribosomal RNA is filed under the name uncultured bacterium. Its description in RNAcentral is "bacterial SSU rRNA". It matches the Rfam family "Bacterial small subunit ribosomal RNA", at positions 111 to 824 of the family's 1533-position model. The record is from RNAcentral.